Long non-coding RNA from Lathyrus oleraceus (garden pea), 957 nucleotides. RefSeq lists it as uncharacterized. Lineage: Eukaryota; Viridiplantae; Streptophyta; Magnoliopsida; Fabales; Fabaceae. The record is from RefSeq and is a predicted model, not a curated record. The transcript has 2 exons.
GCUGUAAAAGGAAAAAAAAGAAAAACAUUGUUACUCUGCUAUAUUUUCCACAAAAAAACCAUUUAUUAAAGCUCAUAACACAAAAAACAUUCAUAAUUUUUAACUGAAAUUCUGAAUCGUUUGAGCUAAGCCCACCAAUCUAUAAUGCAACAAGAAGAUUCAAGCACAUAGAAGAAGGAAAGGAGUAGACAAAGAGUCAGAGGAAAGAGUGAGAAGGACGACUUACCGCGAGGUCAAUAUUUAUUAACGUUAACCAAGAUUGGAACACAAAGCAAGAAAGAAAAGAUAUUGCAUGUUCAUCAAGCGAGCAUAUAGCGAGGCCCAGGCGAAGGCUUUCCCAACAAGAAAAUAACGAGGCUCAGGAAUGGAGAAACAAAAGAAAAAAUCAUCCUUCUCACCAGGCGAGCCUCAAGCGAGCCAUCUCGCCCAGCGAAGCUUCAUCGAGCACCAAGCGAGACAAGUCAGAGACUUUCUAUAAUCAAAAUGUUCCAUUCUCUCCAAGUGAGGUUGCAGCGAGGAAGCUCGCCAGACGAUCCUUUUACUCGCCAGGUGAGAUAAGGCGGUUUAAGAUGCUGAGUUGGCAUAUACUUCAGGGUGAAGAAAGGUUGCUCGCCAGGUGAGGCAACAACUCGUCAGACGAGAGUAACAUGACACGACCAUUAUAUAUAGUUUCAGAAACAUUUCCUUGAGGAAAGAUGCUUGGAGAAUUUGGAGAGAAAAUAUAACUUUAGAAAGAGAGAUACAUAUAAAAAAGGAGAACUCGAAGAAUACAAGUUGGAUAUCGAUCAAUCGUCAGGAAAUCACCAUUGAUGCUCAUCCAUCUUUAUUUCUUCUCAUUUGUAAUCAAACCUACUAUGACUAGCUAAAUAUAUUUCUUGUUGGGAUUGGAUGUAAUCCAUCAAUAACGUAUGUAUUCAUUAUGAUCAUGGUGUUAUAUAUGAAUUAGUUGUUUAUUGA